This 400-nucleotide long non-coding RNA is filed under the name Elaeis guineensis (African oil palm). RNAcentral's name for it is "long non-coding RNA (EGUI_LNC081536)". Lineage: Eukaryota; Viridiplantae; Streptophyta; Magnoliopsida; Arecales; Arecaceae. The record is from RNAcentral.
CAAGUACUUAUCAAGUCGGUGCGUGAGUCAAGAUGUGAUUGAUCUCUCCAAAUUAGUAGGAGAUAUGAAUCAGUAUAUUUCAAUUUAGUAAAAUCUAGAUUCGGAUAAUUCAUGUGAUGGAUUUGAAAAAGAUUGAUAUAUAAUAUGGAUGACUUAUCUAGGAUUAAUAGUUAAAUCUUAGAUCAUCUUCGCGCAUUAGGAUCAAGGAGAUGAAUUAUACGAAAAUCAUAUGCCAAUAGGUUCUUGAAUGUUACUUUGUCUUCAUUCAACCUAUCCGGACGUCGGGUCAUCAUUGCUAGAUAGUUACAUCGAUUGAUUCAGGAAGAUAUUUUUAUACUACCAGUUUAGGUUUGAAUCUAUGGGAUCACACUCAAAAGAAGUUUCUGACUAAUCAUAUGGC